CCCAGGUCAGGCGGGGCUACCCGCUGAA
Molecule: ribosomal RNA, 28 nt
Filed under: Facchinia cherlerioides subsp. cherlerioides
Lineage: Eukaryota; Viridiplantae; Streptophyta; Magnoliopsida; Caryophyllales; Caryophyllaceae
Also listed under: 1 other name
Description: partial 28S ribosomal RNA
Source: RNAcentral